Long non-coding RNA from Armigeres subalbatus, 856 nucleotides. RefSeq lists it as uncharacterized. NCBI's taxonomy places the organism in Eukaryota, Metazoa, Arthropoda, Insecta, Diptera, Culicidae. The record is from RefSeq and is a predicted model, not a curated record. The transcript has 3 exons.
UCGUGCCGGUUGUAAAUGAAACACCAUAUUACAUAUUCAUGGGGUAUAUUACGUAAAAACGAUGUAAAAUUACUUAACGAUACUGCGAUUGCGCUCAAGCCCAGUCUGAAACAAACUGACAGCCAGCCAUGUUGAAUUUUUGCUUGUUCGGUGCAAACAUUUUUAACACCCUGUUUAUUAACAUUUUACCAUGGUAAUUCAGUGAUAAAAUAGUGCGCUGUUUGAGAAUUAAAAUAAACAUAAUUAUGGUGAACUGGUAUGACCAUCCGUAGUCGCAGAUACAGUUUUUCAAACGAAAAUCGAGGAGCGGGAACAGCAAUGUUUUGAUUCGAUUGAAUCGAAGGAAUUGUACCACGAACGAAAUCUGCUGAGCGUCAUAAAAAACAACCCAGGAAAAGGUUUCCUGGUUGUUGGUUGAUUUUGUAGCGGACCAAAACGAUGGGGAAAUGGUGCCAACUCCGAUUGCUUACAGAAAGUCCUACAAGUCCUGCCGUUUCCGGAAAGUGAUAAUCCAUCGCGAGUCUUGAUCUAGCAGUUAAAGAUUGGGCCAAACAGAAUCGAUUGUGAUUUGGUCGAGAAUAAAAUAAAUCUGAACAUCACUGUCCAAGCUGCUACAAUGGGCGAAUUCCUUUCUCUGCUUAAGCUAUCGGGAUGGGGUGGGGUUCCAAAUAUACUUAUCAAGUAACUUAUGAAGAGAAUCAUUGAAACAAAUAGUUUAUUCCAAUUGCUUAGAACUACCUAUACACAAAGAAUGAACGUGUUGCUGAUCGCGAAUUUUCUAUAGUGAAUACUGUCAUGAAAACAUUGUAUUUUAAAGAGUAUUAAUUAGGAUAAGAUAUAUGUCAAUAAAACAAUG